This 667-nucleotide long non-coding RNA is filed under the name Pan troglodytes (chimpanzee). RNAcentral describes it as "long non-coding RNA NONPTRT009831". The record is from RNAcentral. Lineage: Eukaryota; Metazoa; Chordata; Mammalia; Primates; Hominidae.
CACCUCUGACCAGGAGAAAAACCAACCAAUAGAAACAGGCCCAGACACUGACCAGGAGAAAAACCAACCAAUAGAAACAGGCCCAGACACUGACCAGGAGAAAAACCAACCAAUAGAAACAGGCCCACACACUGACCAGGAGAAAAACCAACCAAUAGAAACACGCCCAGACACUGACCAGGAGAAAAACCAACCAAUAGAAACACGCCCAGACACUGACCAGGAGAAAAACCAACCAAUAGAAACACGCCCAGACACUGACCAGGAGAAAAACCAACCAAUACAAACACGCCCAGACACUGACCGGGAGAAAAAAAAAACAACCAAUAAAAACAUGCCCAGACAAUGACCAGGAGAAAAACCAACCAAUAGAAACACGCCCAGACACUGACCAGGAGAAAAACCAACCAAUAGAAACACGCCCAGACACUGACCAGGAGAAAAACCAACCAAUAGAAACAGGCCCAGACACUGACCAGGAGAAAAACCAACCAAUAGAAACAGGCCCAGACACUAACCAGGAGAAAAACCAACCAAUAGAAACACGCCCAGACAGUGACCAGGAGAAAACAAACCCAAUAGAAACACGCCCAGACAUAAGACAAAUAAUAAAAUUAGUGGACAAGGACAUUAAAACAGCUAUUGUAAGAGCGGAUAUAGCGGUGUG